RNAcentral lists this unclassified non-coding RNA (343 nucleotides) under soil metagenome. Its description in RNAcentral is "partial contains 5.8S ribosomal RNA, internal transcribed spacer 2, and large subunit ribosomal RNA". The stretch from base 1 to 120 matches the Rfam family "5.8S ribosomal RNA", at positions 35 to 154 of the family's 154-position model. The record is from RNAcentral.
GAUGAAGAACGCAGCGAAAUGCGAUAAGUAAUGUGAAUUGCAGAAUCCAGUGAAUCAUCGAAUCUUUGAACGCACAUUGCGCCCGCCAGCAUUCUGGCGGGCAUGCCUGUUCGAGCGUCAUUUCAACCCUCGACCUCCCCUUGGGGAGGUCGGCGUUGGGGACCGGCAGCACACCGCCGGCCCUGAAAUGGAGUGGCGGCCCGUCCGCGGCGACCUCUGCGCAGUAAUACAGCUCGCACCGGGACCCCGACGCGGCCACGCCGUAAAACACCCAACUUCUGAACGUUGACCUCGAAUCAGGUAGGACUACCCGCUGAACUUAAGCAUAUCAAUAAGCGGAGGA